UGGGGAAUAUUGCACAAUGGGCGCAAGCCUGAUGCAGCCAUGCCGCGCGUGUGAAGAAGGCCUUCGGGUUGUAAAGCACUUUCAGCGGGGAGGAAGGCGAUAAGGUUAAUAACCUCAUCGAUUGACGUUACCCGCAGAAGAAGCACCGGCUAACUCCGUGCCAGCAGCCGCGGUAAUACGGAGGGUGCAAGCGUUAAUCGGAAUUACUGGGCGUAAAGCGCACGCAGGCGGUCUGUCAAGUCGGAUGUGAAAUCCCCGGGCUCAACCUGGGAACUGCAUUCGAAAGUGGCAGGCUAGAGUCUUGUAGAGGGGGGUAGAAUUCCAGGUGUAGCGGUGAAAUGCGUAGAGAUCUGGAGGAAUACCGGUGGCGAAGGCGGCCCCCUGGACAAAGACUGACGCUCAGGUGCGAAAGCGUGGGGAGCAAACAGG
RNAcentral lists this ribosomal RNA (429 nucleotides) under Chloroflexota bacterium. RNAcentral describes it as "Chloroflexi bacterium partial 16S ribosomal RNA". It matches the Rfam family "Bacterial small subunit ribosomal RNA", at positions 355 to 776 of the family's 1533-position model. The record is from RNAcentral. Lineage: Bacteria; Bacillati; Chloroflexota.